GCGGGAAUAGCUCAGCGGUAGAGCAUCGCCUUGCCAAGGCGAGGGUCGAGGGUUCAAAUCCCUUUUCCCGCUCCAAUU
Molecule: transfer RNA, 78 nt
Filed under: Allostigmatella aurantiaca DW4/3-1
Lineage: Bacteria; Pseudomonadati; Myxococcota; Myxococcia; Myxococcales; Archangiaceae
Description: Stigmatella aurantiaca DW4/3-1 tRNA-Gly
Rfam family: tRNA
About the family: Transfer RNA (tRNA) molecules are approximately 80 nucleotides in length.
Source: RNAcentral